GCUGUUAAGGGUUCGUAGGUUGGUUUCAGGGUUCUGGGGGGGCGGUGUCUUCGGACAUAUCCGCUUUCUACCCCAAACUCUGUUUUAGGCGGAACUGGGGUCUUGUUGACUCCUCGGGUUUCCGGGGUGAUACACACACGCAUAAGCCAUAUGCACCAAGGACCGUCCGCCGUUAUUCUGUGAGCAAAACAGCGUGUCCAAGGCGGGCAUUUUGCCCUGAAUGAUAAAGCAUGGAAUACAAUGGAUCGCACGAAGGAUUCUGCUUCUUUUGUUGGUUUUCAGGCUAGCUUCGUAGAUGUCUUGGGAAUACUCCCAGCCAGUGGUGGAAGGGCGUGCUCACGGGUUUCUCUCUUUCCCCCACUGGGCAUGGGAUGCCCAGGAAUGGGAUCAACGGGGACUGUCGGGGGAAGACGUUUGCCGCGUCAGAGGUGAAAUUCUUAGACCACGGCAAGACGAACCUAUGCGAAGGCAUCUUCCAGUAUGUCUUCGUUAAUCAGGAACCAAAGUGUGGAGAUCGAAGAUGAUUAGAGACCUUGUAGUCC
This 542-nucleotide ribosomal RNA is filed under the name uncultured kinetoplastid. RNAcentral describes it as "bacterial SSU rRNA". It matches the Rfam family "Eukaryotic small subunit ribosomal RNA", at positions 615 to 1026 of the family's 1831-position model. The record is from RNAcentral. Lineage: Eukaryota; Euglenozoa; Kinetoplastea.